This 291-nucleotide long non-coding RNA is filed under the name Solanum tuberosum (potato). RNAcentral describes it as "long non-coding RNA (STUB_LNC001251)". Lineage: Eukaryota; Viridiplantae; Streptophyta; Magnoliopsida; Solanales; Solanaceae. The record is from RNAcentral.
UCAUGAUCAAGAAUAUUGGUAGUGUUAUCUUGUGAACUAGAUUGGAAGCCACUUACUAGGAGAAUAGCUAUGAUAAAAUUACAAAAACAAAAUAUAAUGUGAGAAUUGGAAGAAGCAAUAAAGAUCAUCUCAAAUAUUGAACUCAACAUAGUUAAAAACGAUAUCUCGAAUUCGAUCUGUGUGAAAUGAAUAACUUGUCAACAAAGAGUGUUUUACUCAGUAAAUCUCGAAUACCAGAGAAUCUUGAAAACAAACAAGUUGCAAGAAGAUAUAUUGAGAGAAUAUUUGAGA